This 481-nucleotide ribosomal RNA is filed under the name uncultured bacterium. RNAcentral's name for it is "partial 16S ribosomal RNA". It matches the Rfam family "Bacterial small subunit ribosomal RNA", at positions 28 to 507 of the family's 1533-position model. The record is from RNAcentral.
GAUGAACGCUGGCGGCGUGCUUAACACAUGCAAGCCGAACGAAGCAUUUGCGACAGAUUUUUUCGGAAUGAAGUUGCUUAUGACUGAGUGGCGGACGGGUGAGUAACGAGUGGGUCACCUGCCUUGUACUGGGGGAUAGCAGCUGGAUACGGCUGGUAAUCUCGCAUAAGCGCCCAAUGUUGCUUGACAUGGUGUGGAAAACUCCGGUGGUAUACGAUGGAGCCGCGUCUGAUUAGCUAGUUGGUGAGAUAAGAGCCCACCAAGGUGACGAUCAGUAGCCGACCUGAGAGGGUGACCGGCCACAUUGGGACUGAGACACGGCCCAGACUCCUACGGGAUGCAGCAGUGGGGAAUAUUGCACAAUGGAGGAAACUCUGAUGCAGCGACGCCGGGUGAGUGAAGAAGUAAUUCGUUAUGUAAAGCUCUAUCAGCAGGGAAGAUAGUGACGGUACCUGACUAAGAAGCUCCGGCUAAAUACGUG